Molecule: ribosomal RNA, 492 nt
Filed under: uncultured bacterium
Lineage: Bacteria
Description: partial 16S ribosomal RNA
Rfam family: Bacterial small subunit ribosomal RNA
Source: RNAcentral
AGUGAACGCUGGCGGUAGGCCUAACACAUGCAAGUCGAACGGCAGCACAGUAAGAGCUUGCUCUUACGGGUGGCGAGUGGCGGACGGGUGAGGAAUACAUCGGAAUCUACUUUUUCGUGGGGGAUAACGUAGGGAAACUUACGCUAAUACCGCAUACGACCUACGGGUGAAAGCAGGGGAUCUUCGGACCUUGCGCGAUUGAAUGAGCCGAUGUCGGAUUAGCUAGUUGGCGGGGUAAAGGCCCACCAAGGCGACGAUCCGUAGCUGGUCUGAGAGGAUGAUAAGCCACACUGGAACUGAGACACGGUCCAGACUCCUACGGGAGGCAGCAGUGGGGAAUAUUGGACAAUGGGCGCAAGCAUGAUCCAGCCAUACCGCGUGGGUGAAGAAGGCCUUCGGGUUGUAAAGCCCUUUUGUUGGGAAAGAAAAGCAGCAGGUUAAUACCCCGCUGUUCUGACGGUACCCAAAGAAUAAGCACCGGCUAACUUCGUG